UUGGGCAUAUAUAGAAGUUGAGAUUGAGGAGUUGCUACAGUGAAGUAUACAAAUACACAUAAAGCAUUGUCUCUCUCAAUUUAUCAAAUCAUACCUUAAUUAUAUUUGGGCAUAUAUAUAGAAGUUGAGAUUGAGGAGUUGCUGCAGUGAAGUAUACAAAUACAUCCGUGAAAAUGAUUUGAACGGGCACAUAUAAGAGAGAGAUCAUCGCCCAUAAAAGAAAGCAAUUAACAAGACUUGUGCUCCUUGGUUGCAGAUCUUAGUUGUAAUGAUAGAGAAGACAUACAUGAAUCACAUGAUUAUAUCAAUUACAUGUUUUCUGGGUUUGAAUGGUUAUUGGUGGGUUUGAAAUGUGUUUGCUGGAUGUAUCACAACAAAGGAUAAAUUUAGAAAUUUGGGUCAAAAAAGUUAAUUGCUAGGUGCAUCUAAUAAUUUGCUGGGUAUAUUUAACAACACCCUAUAUAUAUACAUAUAUAUACAGCCCCGUUUGAGAGCGGAUGUCCGCACUGAGCUUAAAGUGCGGAUGUCGCCGAUUUCUCCACCUUUAGGGUGUUGACGGCGGCGCUUCUCUUGCCGGAUGAACACCAGAGGCCUCUGGGACGACAUUGACAUGAAGAAGAAGGUCAAGGAGAUCGGGGUCGAGACUUUAAACUCUUUCUGUUUGUUUCCAGUCAAAGAGGUUUCUUGAGAAUGCAUCUAGGGCUAAUUGUGGUCCUUCUGAUGGUGGCGCAACUUGUGCGUGCAUUGCUUUUAUUGGGAACUUCCAGAUGAUAUGUUGCGAUUAAUUAAUGAGUUGGACAUGACCGAGAAGUUUGGUCUAACAAUCCUAAGGGCCAAACUCUACUGGCCAUUCCAGCUCAUCCUCUUCCGUCAUAAUUUUGUUUCUAUUCGGUAAAUAUAAAUAAAAUUAUAAAGACUUAGUUUUUUUUUUAUUGGGAGUGAGAUAACGAACCAGCUCGAUUACGUUACAAGUUAGUGUUUUUGCUAGGGUUCUGGGGCGGACCGAUAGUAGAAUGUGAAAAGUUUAAUUCCAACCUGCACAAGAUAGUCAUGGGAUCAGGAGUCAAGACUGGGGAGCCCAGCUUAUGACUCUCUGAUGCCUAAGUCAGGGACCAACCGAUGCGAGAGAGUUAAGUUGGAGAAGGAAAAGAAGAACCUACCUGGCUGGGAAGGACCCCUUGUUCAUAUAGUUUGCCAUUGGGAGUCGUGUUAGUCCCCAUCGAGGUGAGAUUGGUGUGAACCUGGAUGUGUGCCCAAUAGCUUGGGUUGAGACUUAUGGGAAACCAUUGCUGGAGGCUUCUCCGAGAGAUCUCCGGCGUACCACCACCCAGUCUUGCCGGUGAGCCUGGCUCGGUGUGGACUGAUGGUGGGUUUCCCGUCUCCAGUGGCCGGAGAAUGAGGACCUUAGGCCCAGUACUUCUAUGGUUGGGAGGUGUAGUAAAUAGUUAGUAACACACUCACUCGGUUAGUAUUCAGCUCGAGGUCUAUGAGAGUAUCCUAACAAAGCCAGACUAAUCUCCUACCACAGGCACACGAACACGGAGGCUUUUCAAACCUGCUGACCACAAAUUAAUAGGAGUUGAGACUUGAACUCCCAUCAGUUUGUAGCCAUGCAGUGUUUUACUAUUGCUGAAUUAUUCACGACUAUACCCUAAAAUACUCUAAAACAAAUAUCAAUUCAUGAUAGAGAAUAUGAAUAAAGACAAUAUAGAAAAAAUUCCUACAAAUAUUGAUGAUGUCUCUCCACUAUUUCAUAUUUCCGUACGCAUAGAUUGGGAGCCCGGGUCUAGUGUAUCAAUUAUUGUUAGAAAUGCCUUGGCUUUUGGACGAAGGUUUUGUGGUUGAUGAUGAUUUUGCGGAACGAGCUAAAAUGGAGGAACAAACCUGUCCUGCGCCCACCCCCGUCCCACGUGAAGUACCGGCAUGCAUGCGCAUGCAGUUUAAUUUUUUUGUUUUUUGUUUUUGGAUACAUAUGCAGUUUAAUUUAGCAGCAUCAGUAUUUCUGGUUUUAGCAGCAUCAGUAUCACCGUCCCACGUGAAGACCACGUGAAAAUGAAAUUACAGCCAACAACCUCUUUUCCUUAUAAGACCCACCAAUUGCUUUAGAUCUUCUAUAUUCCAGAUUUUGCGACCAUUGCUCAACAUAUUUAUGAUUCGCUAACAUCAAAUCACUCAAACCACGAUAAUGUUCUUUAAUUCUUCUUACUAGAUCCUUGUGUUCUAUAUAUUUUUCUU
This 2235-nucleotide long non-coding RNA is filed under the name Fragaria vesca (wild strawberry). RNAcentral's name for it is "long non-coding RNA (FVES_LNC002763)". Lineage: Eukaryota; Viridiplantae; Streptophyta; Magnoliopsida; Rosales; Rosaceae. The record is from RNAcentral.